Molecule: long non-coding RNA, 713 nt
Organism: Bombina bombina (fire-bellied toad)
Lineage: Eukaryota; Metazoa; Chordata; Amphibia; Anura; Bombinatoridae
Exons: 2
Source: RefSeq, a predicted model, not a curated record
AUUUUACAGGAUGCAAAUAUAUCUUGGUGGGAAUCUGUAUUUGGAUAUAGAUACUCCUAUCUCUCUCUUUUCUUGGUGUCUGGAUGGAAUUCUUUUGAUUUGCACUUGGGCUCUUCUGAAUGGAUCUGCCUGACUACUACUGGACAUGCUGAGGCCUUGUGACAAGUUUACCUAUGGUUGCUGCAAUCGUUACCUGCAACUAACUGUGUUAUCUACUUGUUUCACCCUAUGGUUCUUCCUUGGCCUUUUCAGUGGUUAUAUACACUAUUUGCUCCUGUUUGUAAGCAAUAUGAAGAUUACACAUGUUGUAUUUCUUGAUGGAACUGCUCCUACAGACUUUAUUGCUUUCAAUUCUGCAACAAAUGUAUCUUACUACUAAGGUAGUUGUGAACUGAACUUUUUCUGCAAUGACGCUGCUAUUGAUUUGAUUCCUUCAAUCAAGACUUGAACAUCUUUAUUUAUGAACUAUGUCAUUAUUGGAACAUUCUUUAUUGUAGUGUAUGACGUCAAAUCCACUGUCUUUUGUUUGAAAUAUGUCUGGUAUAUGUCUGGUAGUUUCUUCUGUGUUGGCCCUUAGUGUUUAAUCAUUGGGAUUGUGUCUGACAAAAAGAAAAGAAAGUGGGGGAAUGUGGAGUUAUAAAAUCAUGAUUAGAAUAAAUUAUAAAAUCAUGAUUAGGAAAAUAUACAAUUUCAAAGAAGAAUUACACAUUAAA